AUUGAACGCUGGCGGCAUGCCUUACACAUGCAAGUCGAACGGUAACGGGCCUUCGGGUGCCGACGAGUGGCGAACGGGCGAGUAAUACAUCGGAACGUGCCCGAUCGUGGGGGAUAACGAGGCGAAAGCUUUGCUAAUACCGCAUACGAUCUACGGAUGAAAGCAGGGGACCGCAAGGCCUUGCGCGGACGGAGCGGCCGAUGGCAGAUUAGGUAGUUGGUGGGAUAAAAGCUUACCAAGCCGACGAUCUGUAGCUGGUCUGAGAGGAUGAUCAGCCACACUGGGACUGAGACACGGCCCAGACUCCUACGGGAGGCAGCAGUGGGGAAUUUUGGACAAUGGGCGCAAGCCUGAUCCAGCCAUGCCGCGUGCAGGAUGAAGGCCUUCGGGUUGUAAACUGCUUUUGUACGGAACGAAAAGCCUUCUUUUAAUACAGGAGGGUCAUGACGGUACCGGAAGAAUAAGCACCGGCUAACUACGUG
Molecule: ribosomal RNA, 482 nt
Filed under: uncultured bacterium
Lineage: Bacteria
Description: partial 16S ribosomal RNA
Rfam family: Bacterial small subunit ribosomal RNA
Source: RNAcentral